UUGAAGAAUGCCUGACUAAAGGAUUAUUUUGAUGUAAUAAAUUAUGUUACAUAGUAACUUCUUCU
This 65-nucleotide transfer RNA is filed under the name Allocarsidara bakeri. RNAcentral describes it as "tRNA-Ile". Lineage: Eukaryota; Metazoa; Arthropoda; Insecta; Hemiptera; Carsidaridae. The record is from RNAcentral.